UACGUAGGGUGCAAGCGUUGUCCGGAAUUAUUGGGCGUAAAGAGCGCGCAGGCGGUCGAUCAAGUCGCGUGUGAAAGCCCCCGGCUCAACUGGGGAGGGUCACGCGAUACUGAUCGACUCGAAGGCAGGAGAGGGUAGUGGAAUUCCCGGUGUAGUGGUGAAAUGCGUAGAUAUCGGGAGGAACACCGGUGGCGAAGGCGGCGACCUGGGUCGAUACUGACGCUGAGGCGCGAAAGCGUGGGGAGCAAACAGG
RNAcentral lists this ribosomal RNA (253 nucleotides) under uncultured bacterium. RNAcentral describes it as "partial 16S ribosomal RNA". It matches the Rfam family "Bacterial small subunit ribosomal RNA", at positions 524 to 776 of the family's 1533-position model. The record is from RNAcentral.